AGAGUUUGAUGGUGGCUCAGGAUGAACGCUGGCGGCGUGCUUAACACAUGCAAGUCGAACGGGAAACAUUUAUUGAAGCUUCGGCAGAUUUAGCUUGUUUCUAGUGGCGGACGGGUGAGUAACGCGUGGGUAACCUGCCUUAUACUGGGGGAUAACAGCCAGAAAUGACUGCUAAUACCGCAUAAGCGCACAGAACCGCAUGGUUCGGUGUGAAAAACUCCGGUGGUAUAAGAUGGACCCGCGUUGGAUUAGCUAGUUGGCAGGGCAGCGGCCUACCAAGGCGACGAUCCAUAGCCGGCCUGAGAGGGUGAACGGCCACAUUGGGACUGAGACACGGCCCAGACUCCUACGGGAGGCAGCAGUGGGGAAUAUUGCACAAUGGGGGAAACCCUGAUGCAGCGACGCCGCGUGAAGGAAGAAGUAUCUCGGUAUGUAAACUUCUAUCAGCAGGGAAGAUAAUGACGGUACCUGACUAAGAAGCCCCGGCUAACUACGUGCCAGCAGCCGCGGUAAUACGUAGGGGGCAAGCGUUAUCCGGAUUUACUGGGUGUAAAGGGAGCGUAGACGGCGCAGCAAGUCUGAUGUGAAAGGCAGGGGCUUAACCCCUGGACUGCAUUGGAAACUGCUGUGCUUGAGUGCCGGAGGGGUAAGCGGAAUUCCUAGUGUAGCGGUGAAAUGCGUAGAUAUUAGGAGGAACACCAGUGGCGAAGGCGGCUUACUGGACGGUAACUGACGUUGAGGCUCGAAAGCGUGGGGAGCAAACAGGAUUAGAUAGCCCUGGUAGUCCACGCCGUAAACGAUGAAUAUCUAGGUGUCAGGGAGCACAGCUCUUUGGUGCCGCCGCAAACGCAUUAAGUAU
This 859-nucleotide ribosomal RNA is filed under the name uncultured bacterium. RNAcentral describes it as "bacterial SSU rRNA". It matches the Rfam family "Bacterial small subunit ribosomal RNA", at positions 8 to 867 of the family's 1533-position model. The record is from RNAcentral.